GAGCUAAGCUAUUACACUCCAAGCCUCAGACCUCUCAGGCUUUGGUUUCGUGCUCUGGGGAUAUCCAGCAUCCAGCGGCCCAUCGUAUCCCGAACGUCGGUGAGAACGAGGAUUGAGAAAAACUCUUAGCUGGACAGCACCGACGCAGGUGAUCUGAGACUAAGAACUGGGAUGUGUGGACGUUGGUGGAAUACAUACCGAGCGUGCUGGCUGAGGCUAUUAGCUAGCAAGCAUGAUCUGAGCCUAACGCGAGCGUGUAAGAAGAGAUAGCAAAGAUCCUCGGGAACUCGCAGCAGUCACUGAUUGCUGGUGGCUUUUAUUGGUUCUCCUGAUUCUCCGAAUAACUAUUGCAUCGGUCUUACUUUGGAUGUCUUAUAGAUAGGCCAUAAUGAUAAUAUUGUACCUCUGCGAAAAGAACAAAACACUGUUUGCAUAUGGUGCAAAAUAUGCAUUGUUAUGGCCACCG
Molecule: small RNA, 466 nt
Filed under: Cryptococcus neoformans H99
Lineage: Eukaryota; Fungi; Basidiomycota; Tremellomycetes; Tremellales; Cryptococcaceae
Description: Cryptococcus neoformans var. grubii H99 hypothetical RNA
Source: RNAcentral